AUUGAACGCUGGCGGCAGGCCUAACACAUGCAAGUCGAACGGUAACAGGAAGAAGCUUGCUUCUUUGCUGACGAGUGGCGGACGGGUGAGUAAUGUCUGGGAAACUGCCUGAUGGAGGGGGAUAACUACUGGAAACGGUAGCUAAUACCGCAUAGCGUCGCAAGACCAAAGAGGGGGACCUUCGGGCCUCUUGCCAUCGGAUGUGCCCAGAUGGGAUUAGCUAGUAGGUGGGGUAACGGCUCACCUCGGCGACGAUCCCUAGCUGGUCUGAGAGGAUGACCAGCCACACUGGAACUGAGACACGGUCCAGACUACUACGGGAGGCAGCAGUCGGGAAUAUUGCACAGUGGGCGCAAGCCUGAUGCAGCCAUGGCGCGUGUAUGAAGAAGACCUUCGGGUUGUAAAGUACUUUCAGCGGGGAGGAAGGGAGUAAAGUUAAUACCUAUGCUCAUUGACGUUACCCGCAGAAGAAGCACCGGCUAACUACGUG
RNAcentral lists this ribosomal RNA (490 nucleotides) under uncultured bacterium. RNAcentral's name for it is "partial 16S ribosomal RNA". It matches the Rfam family "Bacterial small subunit ribosomal RNA", at positions 30 to 507 of the family's 1533-position model. The record is from RNAcentral.